This 996-nucleotide ribosomal RNA is filed under the name Triticum aestivum (bread wheat). RNAcentral describes it as "partial small subunit ribosomal RNA". Lineage: Eukaryota; Viridiplantae; Streptophyta; Magnoliopsida; Poales; Poaceae. The record is from RNAcentral.
AUGUGGUGGGCCUUGGAGAAACACAAAGUCCCAGCAAAGUACAUUACCCUCAUCAAGGACAUGUACAAUAAUGUUGUGACAAGUGUUCGAACAAGUGAUGUCGACACCGAUGACUUCCCGAUUAAGAUAGGACUGCAUCAGGGGUCAGCUUUGAGCCCUUAUCUUUUUGCUUUGGUGAUGGAUGAGGUCACAAGGGGUAUACAAGGAGAUAUCCCAUGGUGUAUGCUCUUUGCGGAUGAUGUGGUGCUAGUUGACGAUAGUCGGACGGGGGUAAAUAGGAAGUUAGAGUUAUGGAGACAAACUUUGGAAUCGAAAGGGUUUAGGCUUAGUAGAACUAAAACCGAGUACAUGAUGUGCGGUUUCAGUACUACUAGCUGUGAGGAGGAGGAGGUUAGCCUUGAUGGCCAGGUGGUACCUCGGAAGGACACCUUUCGGUAUUUGGGGUCAAUGUUGCAGGAUGAUGGGGGUAUUGAUGAAGAUGUGAACCAUCGAAUCAAAGCCGGAUGGAUGAAGUGGCGCCAAGCUUCUGGCAUUCUCUGUGACAAGAGAGUGCCACAAAAGCUAAAAGGCAAGUUCUACAGGACGGCGGUUCGACCCGCAAUGUUGUAUGGCGCGGAGUGUUGGCCGACUAAAAGGCGACAUGUUCAACAGUUAGGUGUGGCGGAGAUGCGUAUGUUGAGAUGGAUGUGUGGCCACACGAGGAAGGAUCGAGUCCGGAAUGAUGAUAUACGAGAUAGAGUUGGGGUAGUACCAAUUGAGGAGAAGCUUGUCCAACAUCGUUUGAGAUGGUUUGGGCAUAUUCAGCGCAGGCCUCCAGAAGCUCCAGUGCAUAGCGGACGGCUAAAGCGUGCGGAGAAUGUCAAGAGAGGGCGGGGUCGACCGAUUUUGACAUGGGAGGAGUCCGUUAAGAGAGACCUGAAGGAUUGGAGUAUCGACAAAGAGCUAGCUAUGGAUAGGGGUGCGUGGAAGCUUGCUAUCCAUGUGCCAGAGCCAUGA